This 238-nucleotide long non-coding RNA is filed under the name Mustela putorius furo (domestic ferret). RNAcentral's name for it is "lncRNA (ENSMPUG00000028095.1)". The record is from RNAcentral. Lineage: Eukaryota; Metazoa; Chordata; Mammalia; Carnivora; Mustelidae.
GGAGUCAUAGGUCCCAAUCAGCAACUCUAUGUAGAAGUUUGUUAUGGUCUGACAGAUCAUAUGAAAUAAUCUGGAAGGAUAUAGGGAACAUUUCACAAGAGUUCAUCAUCCUCUCUCUACAGACAAGAACACUGAGGCUCUGAGAUGGGCAGGACCUUGCACAGCAUUAGGAAGAUGCUCAUGGAAACAAUGGCUGAUUCAAUUCAUAUUUGAAGACAUUUCUAAAGUCACAGAAUAA